UGUUUUGUAAAUCUGGAGAUGCAAAGGUGUUCUAUUUCGACUUCACCCCCGUGUCCAAUUCAUUGGAUGGAACGUGUCCUGCUUCAUCUUCCGAUGGCUGUCCACCCACCGCCAUGACUUCUGUAAACGAAUUUAUUGUUGGGUCGGCAUCUUGCACCGGUACAGGUGGAGAAGAAGACGUCAAAAUCUUCAACAUUUUCGCACCACCACAAUCACUGGAAUGAAAUUCUACGUUUACCGAACGGUUGUGCGUCGCCACCGACUCGGCCGAAACCGGCUCCUUCCACUCACCCGGCCACCGCCUCUCUUCUGCUUCAUGAAGGUCACUGGCCAUACGCCUACAGCCGCAUCGAUCCAUAGCGGAAUCCGAUAAGCCCAAGGUUUCAAACAAUUUGUGUCAAAUAUGCCACCAUCUGGGCCUACAAAUGAAUUAGCAAACGAACCCUAAACCUUCACGUAAGAAAUAGACGAGGUUUGUUUUUUUUUCCUUACGUCCCUCACCACAUUCCAACCUCACCAUCGAGGAAGCACCUUUCAAGGCAAUCAUUUACUCGAUCUGUUACAUUGUUAGAUGAUUUCCUGUGAUUACAACAUAACAUUUUAUAUCUUAAUCUGCUGCAAGUCAUUGUAAGCCACAAAUCUUGCAUUUUUCUUUGAAUUGUUCUGUAUUUAUUAUUUCCAUUUUCCACUCAUCAUGUGAAUUGCUAAAUGUUGCAGCUAAUCGGAGUCCAAUGUGCUGGUAAUGCUCACUUUUGGGUUAAUGCUAAUGGAUCUUAUCAAGAAGAGGGACAAAAAAACACCAGAUGAUAUAUAUGGGGAGAGGUGACACCUUUUUUAUAAAUAUGUUUCAUGUUUAUGUUUUCUAUUGUUUUCGAAUAUUUUUUUAAAUCCUAGACUAUUUUGACCAAAAUGCCCCUCAAAAGCUUCUUUUAAUUGGAUGUUGUGCUUACAAGAGGAGAAUGGAAUUGGAAAUGCUCCCCAGUGUUUCCAGUUAUUUCUUGGAGCAGGAAGUUUCCUUCUUGGUUUCUCUAAUUGAAAUCAUUUUUUGUUAAAUCUGGGAUUUCAUAGCAAAAGUUUCGAGUUUGGACUUUCUCAGGCCCAGGUUUUAAACAUUUUUUUUGUUUUUUUUAAUUAUUAACAGAUUUCAUGGGCUAUAAUUCAUAAAAAAAAUGAAAUCUUUUUGUCUAAUUCAUUUGUAGGCCCAAUUUUGUUUUAUUACAUAAACAAACUGGUUGUAUACAUUAAAAUUUAACCAGUUUGUAUACAUGUAUGUAUCUAUCUACAAAAUGGAAAUAGGAUCCUUAGAAGAGAAAAAGUGUAUUUAUGUUAAAAUUUGACCAAAAAAAAGCACCUUAGUUUACUUGAUGGAUGCUUACUUUAUUGUUUAUUUAAAGGUUGAUAUAUAUUCAUUAUCAAGAAAGUGGAAAGAAUUAGUGGACAAGGCCAGGGCAAAACAGUUGCAACCUCAAGAGUUGAAAUCUGUGUACCCUUUCAUGUUAAACUGCUUUUGUUGUGUUCCCAAGUUUUGUUAUAAUGUUGUGGGUUAAGUAUAAGAAAUAUAGCAGCGUAUUUUUAAGUAUUUGUCAAAUAUUAUCCUUUUUAUGGUUUCAUCUCUUGAAAAGUUGGUUGUAAGGAAUCUUCUUUAAUCUGUUGCAGGUACUUUUACUCUUUCCAACCUUGGAAUGUUUGGAGUGGAUCGCUUUGAUGCCAUCUUGCCACCAGGAACUGGUGCAAUCAUGGCUGUUGGGGCGUCUGAGCCCACUGUUGUCGCCACCAAGGAUGGUCGAAUCGGCAUGAAGAGCCAGAUGCAGGGAAAAAGGAAAGUGGUCAAGUCACCCAUAGAUAUUACUUUUAAGCACUUUAAGUCGGCAAAUGCAAAAACCAGAUGCGUACUUUUGAAAAUUUAUGUUUUUUAAUGUGUAUGCCUUUGCUAUGUAGUCUAUAUGAAUAACUUCCACAUAUUCAACAUUCAGCAAUGUACACAUUUAACAAAAAAACUAACACCAUUCCAACCCAUGCAAAAACUAGAGUCUUUUCAUUUAUGUAUAAGUUAUCAGAA
This is a non-coding RNA of Lactuca sativa (garden lettuce), 2059 nucleotides long. The record is from RefSeq and is a predicted model, not a curated record. NCBI's taxonomy places the organism in Eukaryota, Viridiplantae, Streptophyta, Magnoliopsida, Asterales, Asteraceae.